This 1700-nucleotide long non-coding RNA is filed under the name Oryza sativa Indica Group (long-grained rice). RNAcentral's name for it is "lncRNA OsZS97_11G017400". The record is from RNAcentral. Lineage: Eukaryota; Viridiplantae; Streptophyta; Magnoliopsida; Poales; Poaceae.
GAGGGAGGCGGGGCACCUCGCUUCGCGGCGGCUUCAUCUUCUUCCCGCGAGAGGAAACCCUCGUCGUCGCCUCCUCCCCCAAUCCCCUCCCUAGCUCUUGCCCCGAUCGUCGAUCCACGCCUCGCCGGAGAAUCCCCGAGCCGCGCCGCCCCUUCCUUCCUUCCUUCCUCCUCGCCCGCGCCGUACCCAGAUCAUCCUCGAGCUCAGAUCCCGCUCCUCCACUCCACAUCGAUCGGUCAUGGCCGCCGCACCAGCACCAGCGCUAGCCCCCGACGCCGCCGCACUCCAGCUGCAGAAUCCGGACAAAAUUUACAAAGUGCUACCGAGAUCCUGUCUGUCUCGAUCCCUGGUGUUGGUCCCCUUGGUGCUUGGAUCAGGAUGUGGUUUGGUUAUUCGCCGCAGUUGGUUUUCUUGUUAAUAUGUAUUCGGAAUUCGUGGCUAUAUCGGAAGGUGUUGUCGCCGGAUCUGUGGUUCACUCAGAAUGAAUUGGCUAUAAGGACAUUUAUUAUUGAUAUUGAGCAUGUAGGUGACAGGACCUAUCACACUUUAAUGAGAAGCAUUCAUGAGUACAAUUUGCAGAACUCUCCAUUCACGUGCCUCAAUGCUGCGGUAACACCAGCUGGUGGAUAUCAUAUAAUCUUAUUGUACAAGGGACAAAAGUCUGUUAGGCUGCUCUUCAGGGACUCGGACGGAUAUCUUGUUGCUGUUGAAGAUGACUUGGGUUCUUGGUACGGUUCAAAGAUAUACCAGAGCUACCAUUCAUUAAUUCAGCUGAAAUGAAAAUGGAAUCAGGCUAUGGAGACAUGGAGACGAGUGAAAAACCAGUCACCGUGGGCCCGAAAGCUUUGAAUGAUCUCUUCUAUCGUCUUUUGAAGUAUGACAACAAUGCAACCCUUGGCAGUCAGACUCUUGAAUUGCAAAUGAAAGCACUGUACCGAGCAUGCUUAAUGUUUGGUGAGGGUCCGAGAAUCCGUCAUGUAAGAAGGUUUGUGUCUAAAAGAUUCAAGGUAUUCAUGGAUCUGGAGUUUCCAAGUGAUCUGUGGAAGCUUAUCCACAACUGGGGCCAUGUGUCUAAGUACAUCAUCUUCUGCUACGACAACAACAUGCUAGAGGCACCACAAGUGGACAAUGCUGAGUACAUGUCACUCAUGAGGAUUAUGUCUUUCAUCGAGAUCCAGGGUCAAAGAAUCAUCUACACCCCCACAGAUGCAGCUGGACCAGGUGGGGCCCUCCUCCUGGUGAAGGCAAAUUAAUCAUUCGCUCGGGCUUCAUGUUGCACGAAUUGUGUAACCACGUCAACCAAAGCCAUACCGCACGCGACAACACUGCACAGUUCGCACUGCAGCCUGACCUGAAGUUCAUGAACUGCAUUUAUGGCCAGGAAACUGUAUAUGAAAGUUAAACUGUUUUGAACUAGAGUUGCUUGUUUUCGAUGGUUUGGAUGUGAAGUGCACCACUUGCUAUGUUCUACCACGUUAGUGUAGCACCAGUCCAGUGAUAUGGAUCAUCAAUGUUUGAUCCUGCUCCCUCUAAACCAUAUUGGUGUUUGACCAUAUUUGAUUUUUCACAUCACUGCUACUUUGUGGAGUAUUCACUACCACGACCUGCGUAAAUUGUCAGGUUUACUCAGGCAUUGUAUGAUGCAACGAAUAAUGGUGUUCUUGUGCCCUCCUUGCUCGUCGAGUUGAGGUUAUAAUCCG